This 497-nucleotide ribosomal RNA is filed under the name uncultured bacterium. RNAcentral's name for it is "partial 16S ribosomal RNA". It matches the Rfam family "Bacterial small subunit ribosomal RNA", at positions 28 to 507 of the family's 1533-position model. The record is from RNAcentral.
GAUGAACGCUGGCGGCGUGCCUAAUACAUGCAAGUCGAGCGAACAGAUGAGGAGCUUGCUCCUCUGACGUUAGCGGCGGACGGGUGAGUAACACGUGGAUAACCUACCUAUAAGACUGGGAUAACUUCGGGAAACCGGAGCUAAUACCGGAUAAUAUAUUGAACCGCAUGGUUCAAUAGUGAAAGACGGUUUUGCUGUCACUUAUAGAUGGAUCCGCGCCGCAUUAGCUAGUUGGUAAGGUAACGGCUUACCAAGGCAACGAUACGUAGCCGACCUGAGAGGGUGAUCGGCCACACUGGAACUGAGACACGGUCCAGACUCCUACGGGAGGCAGCAGUAGGGAAUCUUCCGCAAUGGGCGAAAGCCUGACGGAGCAACGCCGCGUGAGUGAUGAAGGUCUUCGGAUCGUAAAACUCUGUUAUUGGGGAAGAACAAAUGUGUAAGUAACUAUGCACGUCUUGACGGUACCUAAUCAGAAAGCCACGGCUAACUACGUG